RNAcentral lists this long non-coding RNA (1309 nucleotides) under Fragaria vesca (wild strawberry). RNAcentral describes it as "long non-coding RNA (FVES_LNC004722)". Lineage: Eukaryota; Viridiplantae; Streptophyta; Magnoliopsida; Rosales; Rosaceae. The record is from RNAcentral.
CCUCAGCAUAUUUCCAAUAUCAUCAACCAGUCCCCUGACCUCAUUGCCCUCAUCGGCAUUGGUCGAAGUGGCCACACCGGGUUGCCGUGGGCGCCUAGGAGGCAUAGUACCUGAGGAAGAAGAUAUUUAGUAGUCCAUAAACAAGACUAACACAAUCACACAUACCCAAUAACACAUAGCAUCAAAAGUAUAAAAUGUCAAUGAAUCCGCCGCGGUCGGAUCAUCACUCUAUAGACACUGCGUGCUACUUAGGCAAAUAUGAUAGUGACAAGGAAGCAGGAAAAAGGAAACCUAAAGCUCUGAUACCAGCUGACACGACCCACCCUGAAUUUCACCCUGAAACCCGGAGUAAAACGUGCGGGGACCACCUCCAAGAAAGAUAUUACCGAAAAAUCGGCAUAACCUCCCUUGAAAAUGGAUAACCCUUCCUAAAGAAAACCUGCAAACACUUCCAAAAAAUUUAAUCCAACCUUAACUCCUGGAGCCUACGUGCUCCCCAAAUACAACUACCACCAACAACACAACAUUAUCCAUACAUCAAAUAUAAUUAUCCAAAAGAUAACAUAAAUCCUCCAACAAAUAUUCUAAGACGUCAACAAGUCUUCACCCACAACCGAAAAAAAAUAUACAUUAAACCCAAGUAUUCAAAGCUACUAAACACUAGCGGAAAAAGAAACCACAGGUAGGUUAAACAGGUAACCUACUGAUGAAAAGUGGUGGAAAUGCGGGUGACUAUGCCUCGUCUCCUACUAGGUCCAACCCGAACUCUGUAGACUGGGCAUUUUAAAACGAAGGGCCCAGGGGAAACAUUUGAACACGUUAGAGUGAGUGGACAAAAAUAAAAUAAACGAAAUAAUUCUUUAUGCUUUCCCAAUUUUACUUUUCCAUAGAAAAAUAUGCUGCAUGCGACAGCUCAAAACACUCAACACGAAAACUGGAAAUUUCAUGACUAGCUCCGGCCAGUCUCCAAUGCUCAGUAAAAUACAGCCUCUCAGGCUAAAAUAAAAUAUGUAUGUAUUACACUCGUCAUAUCCCUUGUAUGAAUUUUCUUGAAACAACAAAAACAAAUAGAAAAUUCACACAAGGCUACGACGCUUGCGUCUAACGCUCACGUCGCACCAUAAUGGCAUUUUACCUCAUUAUGGUGGAAAAGACGGUGUAUAAAUAUACGCGCAUAUCCCCUAUAUAAAAUAUUAUUUUUAUAUAGGGCUACGACGAUUGCGUCUAACGCUCACGUCGCACCAUAAUGGAAUUUUACCUCAGUAUGUGAAAAGCACGUAUAGCUAGCUAGCAUUCUCUCAUAUACAUA